CAUUAGCUUGCUUUUGAAGAUCAGCGGCGGACGGGUGAGUAACACGUGGGCAACCUGCCUGUAAGACUGGGAUAACUUCGGGAAACCGGAGCUAAUACCGGAUAAUCCUUUCCCUCUCAUGAGGGAAAGCUGAAAGACGGUUUCGGCUGUCACUUACAGAUGGGCCCGCGGCGCAUUAGCUAGUUGGUGAGGUAACGGCUCACCAAGGCGACGAUGCGUAGCCGACCUGAGAGGGUGAUCGGCCACACUGGGACUGAGACACGGCCCAGACUCCUACGGGAGGCAGCAGUAGGGAAUCUUCCGCAAUGGACGAAAGUCUGACGGAGCAACGCCGCGUGAGCGAUGAAGGCCUUCGGGUCGUAAAGCUCUGUUGUCAGGGAAGAACAAGUAUCGGAGUAACUGCCGGUACCUUGACGGUACCUGACCAGAAAGCCACGGCUAACUACGUGCCAGCAGCCGCGGUAAUACGUAGGUGGCAAGCGUUGUCCGGAAUUAUUGGGCGUAAAGCGCGCGCAGGCGGUUCCUUAAGUCUGAUGUGAAAGCCCCCGGCUCAACCGGGGAGGGUCAUUGGAAACUGGGGAACUUGAGUGCAGAAGAGGAGAGCGGAAUUCCACGUGUAGCGGUGAAAUGCGUAGAGAUGUGGAGGAACACCAGUGGCGAAGGCGGCUCUCUGGUCUGUAACUGACGCUGAGGCGCGAAAGCGUGGGGAGCGAACAGGAUUAGAUACCCUGGUAGUCCACGCCGUAAACGAUGAGUGCUAAGUGUUAGAGGGUUUCCGCCCUUUAGUGCUGCAGCAAACGCAUUAAGCACUCCGCCUGGGGAGUACGGCCGCAAGGCUGAAACUCAAAGGAAUUGACGGGGGCCCGCACAAGCGGUGGAGCAUGUGGUUUAAUUCGAAGCAACGCGAAGAACCUUACCAGGUCUUGACAUCCUCUGACAACCCUAGAGAUAGGGCGUUCCCCUUCGGGGGACAGAGUGACAGGUGGUGCAUGGUUGUCGUCAGCUCGUGUCGUGAGAUGUUGGGUUAAGUCCCGCAACGAGCGCAACCCUUGAUCUUAGUUGCCAGCAUUAAGUUGGGCACUCUAAGGUGACUGCCGGUGACAAACCGGAGGAAGGUGGGGAUGACGUCAAAUCAUCAUGCCCCUUAUG
RNAcentral lists this ribosomal RNA (1149 nucleotides) under Bacillus sp. (in: firmicutes). RNAcentral's name for it is "bacterial SSU rRNA". It matches the Rfam family "Bacterial small subunit ribosomal RNA", at positions 73 to 1206 of the family's 1533-position model. The record is from RNAcentral. Lineage: Bacteria; Bacillati; Bacillota; Bacilli; Caryophanales; Bacillaceae.